UACAGAGGUCUCAAGCGUUGUUCGGAUUCAUUGGGCGUAAAGGGCGCGUAGGCGGUGCGGUAAGUCACCUGUGAAAUCUCCUGGCUCAACUGGGAGCUUGCAGGCGAAACUGCCGUGCUGGAGUGUGGGAGAGGUGCGUGGAAUUCCUGGUGUAGCGGUGAAAUGCGUAGAUAUCAGGAGGAACACCUGUGGCGAAAGCGGCGCACUGGACCACAACUGACGCUGAGGCGCGAAAGCUAGGGGAGCAAACAGG
Molecule: ribosomal RNA, 253 nt
Filed under: uncultured bacterium
Lineage: Bacteria
Description: partial 16S ribosomal RNA
Rfam family: Bacterial small subunit ribosomal RNA
Source: RNAcentral